GAACUUUUAGUUUAAUUUAGAAUUUCUCACUUACAAUGGGGAGGUUAGAAGGUUUU
Molecule: transfer RNA, 56 nt
Filed under: Baylisascaris transfuga (bear roundworm)
Lineage: Eukaryota; Metazoa; Nematoda; Chromadorea; Rhabditida; Ascarididae
Description: tRNA-Val
Source: RNAcentral